RNAcentral lists this long non-coding RNA (1062 nucleotides) under Olea europaea subsp. europaea. The record is from RNAcentral. Lineage: Eukaryota; Viridiplantae; Streptophyta; Magnoliopsida; Lamiales; Oleaceae.
ACGAGAGCAGAGUCACAGCUCUGGGCGACUGCAUGGCAAUUCAUUCGCUCAAAUCUUGGGCGACUUGCAACCUUGGGCGAUGGUAUUUUUGCGUUCAUGGGCUUCCUUAUUUGGGCCUUUAUCUUGCAUUGCCUGACUGAUUCGUUCUUUGGACUAUCUGAUUUUGGGGAUUUUCCAGUUGAGCUUCAUUCCUUGGGCUAUUCGACUUGGGCAGAACUUUUUGUAUGUCAACAAUUACCCCCCAAUAUGGUAGAAUUAAUACCAAUUAUUAAUUUUGCCAUAUUCACUUUGUGUUUCCCAACAACAUUCGAAAUUCUCAAGAAUUUCAAUCAUUGUUUUCUUCUAUAGCCUGAAAAGGUGCGACGUUUGCAAACCCUUAUAACCCCCAAAUACGCUAUUUCAUUGCACCACUAAAUCACGCCUCAUUUUUUCGCGCCUCUCUCGCAAUAUUACUGUUCAUCUCCUUGCUUCUCUGCUACGUAACUCUGCAAAACUCUAUUUCGUCCCUAAUGGCUGCUUCACAAUCUCAGUCUGGUGACUCCUUCAGUUUUGAAGACUUUCAGAAACUCCUUACUCGGCCAUAUGUAACUCCGAACUUUCUUGCACCGACCAAUGUAGAACUUAAUGAGUUCUAUCUAGGUCCUUCAUUCAACAAUGCCGAGGCCAUCGAACAAGCGGCGGUCGGUCAGCUGUUCCCUUGUACUCAUGGCCCUCCGUUUCUAAAUUCUUUACCACUGGGGCCACUUCGCGAAAGAGGUAUUCGCACUUAGCCUAAAUCUGAUGUCGUUUUUCGUAGAUGGCAUGCUCGCCUUGUGGACCAUGGUCCUAUUAAGACAAUUUUUGAUAAUACUAGGAUUUCUGAUUUAUUAGAAAUCUCUCUUCAACCCCCUAUUUUUGACCCAGUACUUUUUCCUAUCGCUUUAAGUUUUUGGUCUACUGAGUAUAAUACUUUUGUUUUUCCUCUCGGUCCCAUGUCCAUUACCUUAAGGGAUAUUGGAGCCCUAGUAAAUCUGCCACCUUUGGGUGAUACCAUUUUCCCUGGUAUCCUGAUUUCUGGUGCCG